GAUGAACGCUGGCGGCGUGCCUAAUACAUGCAAGUCGAGCGAACAGACGAGGAGCUUGCUCCUCUGACGUUAGCGGCGGACGGGUGAGUAACACGUGGAUAACCUACCUAUAAGACUGGGAUAACUUCGGGAAACCGGAGCUAAUACCGGAUAAUAUAUUGAACCGCAUGGUUCAAUAGUGAAAGACGGUUUUGCUGUCACUUAUAGAUGGAUCCGCGCCGCAUUAGCUAGUUGGUAAGGUAACGGCUUACCAAGGCAACGAUGCGUAGCCGACCUGAGAGGGUGAUCGGCAACACUGGAACUGAGACACGGUCAAGACUCCUACGGGAGGAACAAGUAGGGAAACUUCCGCAAUGGGCGAAAGCCUGACGGAGAAACGCCGCGUGAGUGAUGAAGGUCUUCGGAUCGUAAAACUCUGUUAUUAGGGAAGAACAAAUGUGUAAGUAACUAUGCACGUCUUGACGGUACCUAAUCAGAAAGCAACGGCUAACUACGUG
This 497-nucleotide ribosomal RNA is filed under the name uncultured bacterium. Its description in RNAcentral is "partial 16S ribosomal RNA". It matches the Rfam family "Bacterial small subunit ribosomal RNA", at positions 28 to 507 of the family's 1533-position model. The record is from RNAcentral.